Molecule: ribosomal RNA, 497 nt
Filed under: uncultured bacterium
Lineage: Bacteria
Description: partial 16S ribosomal RNA
Rfam family: Bacterial small subunit ribosomal RNA
Source: RNAcentral
GAUGAACGCUGGCGGCGUGCCUAAUACAUGCAAGUCGAGCGAACAGACGAGGAGCUUGCUCCUCUGACGUUAGCGGCGGACGGGUGAGUAACACGUGGAUAACCUACCUAUAAGACUGGGAUAACUUCGGGAAACCGGAGCUAAUACCGGAUAAUAUAUUGAACCGCAUGGUUCAAUAGUGAAAGACGGUUUUGCUGUCACUUAUAGAUGGAUCCGCGCCGCAUUAGCUAGUUGGUAAGGUAACGGCUUACCAAGGCAACGAUGCGUAGCCGACCUGAGAGGGUGAUCGGCCACACUGGAACGGAGACACGGUCCAGACUCCUACGGGAGGCAGCAGUAGGGAAUGUGCCGCAAUGGGCGAAAGCUUGACGGAGCAACGCCGCGUGAGUGAUGAAGGUCUUCGGAUCGUAAAACUGUGUUAUUAGGGAAGAACAAAUGUGUAAGUAACUAUGCACGUCUUGACGGUACCUAAUCAGAAAGCCACGGCUAACUACGUG